GGCUCUGUAGCUCAGUUGGUAGAGCGUACGACUGAAAAUCGUGAGGUCAGCGGAUCGAUGCCGCUCGGAGCCACCA
Molecule: transfer RNA, 76 nt
Filed under: Bifidobacterium dentium
Lineage: Bacteria; Bacillati; Actinomycetota; Actinomycetes; Bifidobacteriales; Bifidobacteriaceae
Also listed under: 7 other names
Description: tRNA-Phe
Rfam family: tRNA
About the family: Transfer RNA (tRNA) molecules are approximately 80 nucleotides in length.
Source: RNAcentral